Ipomoea nil (Japanese morning glory) is the source of this 233-nucleotide long non-coding RNA. RefSeq lists it as uncharacterized. The transcript has 3 exons. NCBI's taxonomy places the organism in Eukaryota, Viridiplantae, Streptophyta, Magnoliopsida, Solanales, Convolvulaceae. The record is from RefSeq and is a predicted model, not a curated record.
GACAGUUAUCAACGUCAGUAAGGAUACUGUUUAUUUGUGGGACCCUCUUAGUCAUCGCAUUCGCGAUGAUGAUUGGAAACAUGUUGUAGAAAUGCUCCUCGUCAGCCGGAUAGUAACCAAUGCGGUUUCUAUGUCAUGGCUUACCUGAAGACUUUAAUUGAGAACAUGCCGGACAUUGAUGAUAAAGAUUCUGUUCAAACACUGUUCCAACAAGUUGAAUAUGACAAAGCGGU